GCCUAGCUGGCUCAGUUGAUAGAGCAUGUGGCUCUUGAUCUUAGGGUUGUGAGUUCAAGUCCCAUGUUAGGUG
Felis catus (domestic cat) is the source of this 73-nucleotide transfer RNA. It matches the Rfam family "tRNA". Rfam says of the family: Transfer RNA (tRNA) molecules are approximately 80 nucleotides in length. Their secondary structure includes four short double-helical elements and three loops (D, anti-codon, and T loops). The record is from Rfam. NCBI's taxonomy places the organism in Eukaryota, Metazoa, Chordata, Mammalia, Carnivora, Felidae.